UACGUAGGGUGCAAGCGUUAAUCGGAAUUACCGGGCGUAAAGCGUGCGCAGGCGGUUGUGCAAGACAGGUGUGAAAUCCCCGGGCUCAACCUGGGAACUGCAUCCGAAACUGCCUUGCUCGAGUAUGGGAGAGGGAAGUGGAAUUUCCGGUGUAGCGGUGAAAUGCGUAGAUAUCGGAAGGAACAUCAGUGGCGAAGGCGACUUCCUGGACCAAUACUGACGCUCAGGUGCGAAAGCGUGGGGAGCAAACAGG
RNAcentral lists this ribosomal RNA (253 nucleotides) under uncultured bacterium. Its description in RNAcentral is "partial 16S ribosomal RNA". It matches the Rfam family "Bacterial small subunit ribosomal RNA", at positions 524 to 776 of the family's 1533-position model. The record is from RNAcentral.